This is a long non-coding RNA of Carya illinoinensis, 869 nucleotides long. RefSeq lists it as uncharacterized. The record is from RefSeq and is a predicted model, not a curated record. The transcript has 2 exons. NCBI's taxonomy places the organism in Eukaryota, Viridiplantae, Streptophyta, Magnoliopsida, Fagales, Juglandaceae.
AAGUUGUAAUUUUUGUUUAGGCGGAAUCUUCAAUUUUUGUUUUCUAUUUCCCUGUUGUCUCAGCAAACAAACUGUGUAUGGAGAGAAGCAUGCGCAUGAGGAGAUUGAAUCAAAGCAAUGAAACAUUGAAGCCUAUUGAUACAAAAGCAUGAAGAGAGAGUGAAAAAUCAUUCAGGUGUGCUCCAUGAAGAUGGAUGUUUUAGUGGAAUCUUCAAAUUUUGUUUCUGUUCCCAUGUUUUAUCAGCAACCAAACUGUGGAUGGGGAGACGGAUGAGCAUGAGGAGAUUGAAUCAGAGCAAUGAAUGUAUUGGAUGAAUAAAGAAAGAACUGUACUUUUGCCUUUUGUUCCAAAGGUUGAACUGUACUAGUUUUUAGGUAAACAGUGCUCUGCUAUCAGGGUCUUGUUCCAUUUUAUAAUUUUUCUGCAUUUUAGCAUUCUAGGCACAAAUUCAUCAUAAGUUAUAGAUGAUGUUGAGGUUGGAAGUUCGUGGUAGGCAUAUUCCUAGGUUUCAUUGUCUUUGGAUUGUGUAUUUUGUAGAAUUUGUGUGAUUUGGAAAUUCCAAAGGCUGCAACCUCCACUUUGAACAGCAUUGAGUUUCAACGUUUAUAGGGAAUUUGAAAUUAAUGGGAUCCUGUGUUAGAGUGAGAUUAGAAGAAUCGCUAUAUGUGUGGUUAGUCAUGUUCUUUGGAAAAAAUUACCACACUGGUACUGGAAAGGAAAGAGAUUCAUGGAUUUCAACAUUGAACAACAUAAACUUGCACGGUAUUGGUAUACAAAGUUAGUGAUUAUCAUAUUUAAGAGGAUGAUGAAUAUUUUUGUUCUUUUUUAAUUAAAUAAACUUGCACCGUAUUGGAAUUUUAGACUUUGG